GCUGGGCAUGGUGGCACAUGCCCGUAAUCCCAGUGGCUUAGGAGGCUGAGGCAGGAGGAUCACAGGUUCCAGGUCAGUCCCAGCAAAUUAGUGAGGCCCUAAGCCUCGU
This 109-nucleotide small RNA is filed under the name Marmota monax (woodchuck). The record is from RNAcentral. Lineage: Eukaryota; Metazoa; Chordata; Mammalia; Rodentia; Sciuridae.